AUUGAACGCUGGCGGCAGGCCUAACACAUGCAAGUCGAGCGGUAGAGAGGUGCUUGCAUCUCUUGAGAGCGGCGGACGGGUGAGUAAUGCCUAGGAAUCUGCCUAGUGGUGGGGGAUAACGUUCGGAAACGGACGCUAAUACCGCAUACGUCCUACGGGAGAAAGCGGGGGGAUCUUCGGACCUCGCGCCAUUAGAUGAGCCUAGGUCGGAUUAGCUAGUUGGUGAGGUAAUGGCUCACCAAGGCGACGAUCCGUAACUGGUCUGAGAGGAUGAUCAGUCACACUGGAACUGAGACACGGUCCAGACUCCUACGGGAGGCAGCAGUGGGGAAUAUUGGACAAUGGGCGAAAGCCUGAUCCAGCCAUGCCGCGUGUGUGAAGAAGGUACUUCGGAUUGUAAAGCACUUUAAGUUGGGAGGAAGGGUAGUAACCUAAUACGUUGCUACUUUGACGUUACCGA
This 460-nucleotide ribosomal RNA is filed under the name uncultured bacterium. Its description in RNAcentral is "bacterial SSU rRNA". It matches the Rfam family "Bacterial small subunit ribosomal RNA", at positions 30 to 481 of the family's 1533-position model. The record is from RNAcentral.